This 497-nucleotide ribosomal RNA is filed under the name uncultured bacterium. Its description in RNAcentral is "partial 16S ribosomal RNA". It matches the Rfam family "Bacterial small subunit ribosomal RNA", at positions 28 to 507 of the family's 1533-position model. The record is from RNAcentral.
GAUGAACACUGGCGGCGUGCCUAAUACAUGCAAGUCGAGCGAACAGACGAGGAGCUUGCUCCUCUGACGUUAGCGGCGGACGGGUGAGUAACACGUGGAUAACCUACCUAUAAGACUGGGAUAACUUCGGGAAACCGGAGCUAAUACCGGAUAAUAUAUUGAACCGCAUGGUUCAAUAGUGAAAGACGGUUUUGCUGUCACUUAUAGAUGGAUCCGCGCCGCAUUAGAUAGUUGGUAAGGUAACGGCUUACCAAGGCAACGAUGCGUAGCCGACCUGAGAGGGUGAUCGGCCACACUGGAACUGAGACACGGUCCAGACUCCUACGGGAGGCAGCAGUAGGGAAUCUUCCGCAAUGGGCGAAAGCCUGACGGAGCAACGCCGCGCGAGUGAUGAAGGUCUUCGGAUCGUAAAACUCUGUUAUUAGGGAAGAACAAAUGUGUAAGUAACUAUGCACGUCUUGACGGUACCUAAUCAGAAAGCCACGGCUAACUACGUG